Molecule: long non-coding RNA, 545 nt
Filed under: Nicotiana benthamiana
Lineage: Eukaryota; Viridiplantae; Streptophyta; Magnoliopsida; Solanales; Solanaceae
Description: long non-coding RNA (NBEN_LNC003026)
Source: RNAcentral
CAAAACAUUCUGAAAUCAAUGUUCAUCCCUAUUGUUACAAGUAAGGAGGACACAUUAGUAUGGGCUUUUACUCCAAAUGGAUAGUUUUUCCAAAGUACAGGUUAUUCCUUCAUACACAACAACGCCCAAACGUGCUCUCAAGGGGAGACGGACCACUUCAAGUGGUUAUGGAAGCUGCAUUAACCAAACAAGAUAAAAUUCUUUACUUGGCUCUUAACCCACAAAUCUCCCUACUAGAGCAUUUCUAAGCUCAGUUGGAGUCAACUGCCCCGCUCAAUGCCAAUAUUGUAAUGAUGGACAAGACGAUAUUGAACACAUUUUCUUCCUAUGCCCUAAUGCUGCCCAUUUUUGGGAUGCAAUCAGGUCAAAAUCCUCACCUACACCCCCUCCUAACCUACGAAACUGCAACCACAUUUGGCAGACAUUUUGGCCAGCUCUCAAAGAAGAGAAAAUCAAUGAAUACCUUUACUGGGCAAUUUUUAUUCCCUUCUGGCUCUGGCAUAUCUAGCUAGCAAGAAACAACAAUGUGUUUAACAAUAGGAAAG